Molecule: long non-coding RNA, 685 nt
Organism: Cyanistes caeruleus (blue tit)
Lineage: Eukaryota; Metazoa; Chordata; Aves; Passeriformes; Paridae
Product: meiotic kinetochore factor
Source: Ensembl
CAUGGAGCGGGGCCGCAGGGUCCGCGGCCCCUGCCCCGGGAAAGCACCGUGGAAGAAGCGCCGGGCCUCCCCUCUGCCGGGGGCGGCCGCUCUCCCGGGCAGCCGCGCCGGUGUCUCCCAGAUGUGCCGGCGGCGCCUGUUCGGGAGCACGGAGCCUCGCGGGCCUGAGCCUGCCUGCCUGCAGAAAAAGUUCAGUGGGAAAAAUCUACCAAAAAUUAAAGAAAACGUUGAAUAUACUGAAGAGAGCUCUUCAUGCAAGCAAAGUAAUCAGGUGACUGUCAGAGAAACAACAGAUUUCAAGAUAAAAGAAAAGGAACAAGAAGAAAGAAGUGUACCACUGAAGGAAUCCAAAAUAAUCAACUUUGAAAGUAAAGGAUGUUUGAAAAACGCUGAAGUGACGUCAAGUACAGAAAUUACUCUUCCCACAGGUGUUUCCACCUUUCUGAUAGAUUGUUUAGAUGAAGAUUCAGCUGCAGAUUAUAGCACUGCUAGCAACAGCCUGAAGACUUAUUCAUCCCCUGAAACAUUCAGAAAUGACAGCCUGAAGACUUAUUCAUCCCCUGAAGCAUUCAGAGAUGAUGAUUUGGGUGACACUUUUGGAAAGAGGCAAUUUUUACUCCAUGGACCUUGGCAAGUACAAGAACUCUACUCUCCUGGACUCCAGCAAAGCAGUGACCAUAGAUAA